GAUAUGUCAGAUAAUAAUAAUAAGUGUCAACCAUUGAUAAAAAAAAAUAAAAGCGGAGAUUACAAUUAUUACUAAUUAUUGCAGUUUGCCAAAUGAAAUGACUGUUCCUAUUUUUCGGAGAAAUUAUAAAGAUGGAGAAAUUUGCUGUUGAUUUAGACCAAGUUCUCAAUGACUUUGAAUACAGUGAAUUAACCGAUCAGUAUAAUUCUGUAAGGAAUCCUGUAGAAGCUCCAAGCCCUGCUCCUCAAAAUAAUGUGUUGAAACACUCAAUUAACAAUGUUUUUCAUAGUCUAAAUGAAUAUUUGAGCAGCAGUAUCGAUGUACCUGCUGUAGAUAAUGAUUUGAGUUCUAAAGAAAAAGAUUUAGAUAGAGGAGAUAAUUCUAAUUCGCAGAAUAAAGAAGUAUGUAUACAAUAUCCUGAUAACAACGGAGAUAAAGGCAGUAACAUCAGUAAUGUAGAAAAUACAUCUUGUGACAUUAAAACUGAGAAUGCUUCAGUACAAGAAACUAUCAAAGACAAUUUAACAGUAGCCAAUAAUGACUCAAUUGAAGAGCUUACACCUGAUACAUCUGAGGAAAUCGUAUUCAUAGAAGGAGAAAAAAUCAAACAAACCCAUUCUGUCAGUCAAUUAGAAGAAACUACAACUAAGGGAAGUGAUGAACUUCUCAUUGAAAUAGAAGACGUUAAAGAUACAACUACUGAAAGAGAACUAGACAAUACAAUUACAGAGAAUCUCGGUAAAACUGAAGAAGUAGAAAAGUCUGAUAGAUUAGUGGAGGAAGUUAGUUCUAAAAUUUCAGAAGAUCUAGUAAUUAAACCUAAUGAAGUGGAUAAUCAAGUUGUUUGUGAAGACACCAUAUAUCCAGAAGUAUUGGAAGUCAGUGAUGAAUCAGACAAAGAGGGAAAUAUUAGUAACAUAAAAGAAGAUCGACCUGUAGUAGUAGGUUUUGAGGCUGUAACUAAUCUAGAGGAUGAUGAAGUGGAUAAGUUGUUAGAAGAAUUAGAAAAUGACCAAGAUUUACUUCAGGAAUCUCAAUUACUACAACAAGAACAUAAAGAGGAAAAGAGAGAUAAUCAAGUUGAAAAUAUAUUAGUUUUAGAAAAACAUGAAGAAGUUGAGGAGUCAGUUGAUCAAUUUCCAAUAACACAAUUAUUAAAGGAACCAAACAUUUUAAUAUCCACUGACUCAGAGAAACCUACAAUAGAAAUUAUAAAUGAAGAAGUAAAGAAUAUUCCUAUAGAUAAACUAGAAGACAGUAAUGUUUUGCCAAAUGAGAUAAUUCAAAAUGAAGAUAAAGAACAUGUUGAAACAGUUCUGGAGGCAUCUAUUAAUAAAGAACAACCUUUGCAAAUUACAAAGGAACUCACUAGAGAAGUUGAACUACCAGAGGUUCUAAAAGAAUCAGUUAAAAAUGAAGAACCUCCAGAAAUGUUAAAAGAUCCAGUUACUGAUGAAGAGCCAAAAGAAACUCAAGCAGCAAAAGAGGAAAAAAUGCAAGCUCUGAAAUCAGUAGAUAAAGAAAAAGAAGAAGUAUAUGAAGAAGAAAAACCAGCAACACUUCUAGAGGAACCCGUCAAAGAACAAGAUCAAAUUAUGGGGGAUGUUAGUGAGCAAAAAUUGCCAGAUAAAGAAAGCAUUGCUGAAUGUAUUCCCAAAGAAGAAGAAGAAACUGUUAAUAAGAAUGAAGAACUUGUUGAGAAUAGUUCCAAGGAACAGGGUAAUACAAGUGACGAAAAGACUGAAACAGCAAAUAUUAAACUUGAAAGGCAAGAUAGUGCAUCUAGACCACAUCAUUUACAACUUAAGGAAGAAGAAAAUGAAAAACAAAGGGAAAUUAAUCUAAUAGGUGCUCCGGGUUCAACGCCAUAUAACAAUGUUUACAUAAGCGAAGAAAUCCACAAACAGGACGACCGAGAUAGCGAAUCUAUAUCUUCCACGUCAUCGAACACCUUCUCCGACACCGGAAGUACAGCUUCGACCGCGUCUACCGAAGAAAUUAGAGACGACCAUGACGAUAUUAAUCCCAACAUAGGGGAAGAAAGGAGAAUACCCACGGAAAAUUUAGAAAGAGACAGCAGGGAGUUGUCCGACGAAGGUCCUGAUUUGCGCAAUCUAGAAGAGAGUUUAGAGCCCCCUAGAGGAAGUGAAAGCGAAGCUAGGGGAACUGCAGAAGGUAUCACUAGCAGCGGGACGCAUGAAAAACAAUGGUUGGGGAAAGAGGCGCCUUUGUGGAUUCCGGAUUCAGAUACUACUAGUUGCUUGCACUGUGAUAUGAAGUUUACUGUGUUGAAGAGACGGCAUCACUGUAGAGCCUGUGGAUUGGUCCUGUGCGCCAAAUGCUGCCAUCUUCGUUUCAAAUUGGAAUAUUUGGACGCAGAAGCCAGAGUGUGCAACAAAUGCCACGAUAUACUAAACAGAGACACCAACAGCAGCUCAAGUUCGGACCUCUCACCAGACCACGGCAACUCCCCUCUUCGACGACCUAAUCCCAACAAUCCUCUGGAAUAUUGUUCGACAAUCUCACCUUUGCAACAAGUUAGUGGUGCGUCCAAUCAAAUACCUGCUGUUAUGGUACCAGUUGGAGUUUUGAAAAGAAAAGGUAGUACCAAAGCCAAAUCCAAUAAGAGCGUCAUGUUUUGUGACGGUAUUCGCCCGGGAAGCGACCUGACUAAUCUGGAUAACGACUUUAACUAUAGUAACACGAAGACUAAGAAAUUGGAGAAAACUAGUACUAAUGCCGGGAAAAUAAACAGGAAUUUACCGUUGAUGGAUUCUGACACUAACUCAUUUAUUCCGAAGAGUGAGAACAGCCUUCCACCUUUGAUAACCAUAACAAAAUCAGAUAUUUCGUACACGGAUUGCCUGAACAACCCCCAAACAGUGGAAAUGUUAAAAGCUAACGAACUGACAUUCGCCAUUUUGUUGAGUUUAUACGUCCACGUAAAGAUCAUAAAUAUGAGUUGCUGCAUUAACAAGACGGCAUGGUGCUUUUCUACAGAGGGACUCAUCAACGUUGGGCAGGACGAGAUUGUAAUUAUUUUAGAGUAUAUAGAUGAGGAGUCUUUUGUGCCGAAAGAUGUUUUUUACCAUAUUAAUAACGUUUAUGCGGAUGCAGUGAAAGGUACGUCAAUUAAAGAGCUUGGCCUAUCACUCCACAAUUCAUCGAACUUUUUGGAUUCCAAGAACCACGCGGGAUUCGUCUAUAUCCGGCCCACUUUCCAAUGUUUAGAAAAUGUGAUAAAGUCCAAAGAACCUUUUUUGAUAGGUAUUUUAAUACAUCGGUGGGAGACGCCGUGGGCCAAACUUUUCCCCUUAAGACUGAUUUUGAGAUUAGGAGCAGAAUAUAGGUACUAUCCAAGCCCUGUGAUAUCGACGAGACACCGAGACAGCGUGUUUGUAGAAAUUGGACAUACCAUAAUUAAUUUGUUAGCAGAUUUUAGGAAUUUUUCAUAUACUCUGCCGCAGAUCAACGGCUUGACUAUUCAUAUGGAGGACAAAAAUACUACUCUUACCAUUCCAGUUAAUAGAUAUGACCAGGUGAUAAAAUCUUUAAAUAAUUCAAGCGACCACAUAUUAGCAUUUGCUGGGACGUUUAGUCAAACUGCUGACUCACAUUUGAUAUGCAUGCAGGAUACUCAGGGAGAUGAAAAUUGCUAUUCAACGCAUACUAUUAAUAUUCAGAACAAGCCUAGAAAAGUUACUGGCGCAAGCUUCAUAGUAUUCAACGGAGCGUUGAAGUCUUCCAGCGGUUUAACGGCCAAAUCCAACAUUGUCGAAGAUGGACUGAUGAUCCAGGUGUUACCGGAGCAUAUGCAACAGAUCAGAGACAGUCUCAGAGCCAUGAAAAACCACACGAUACCUUGUGGAUGCGUCGACGCCGACUCAGACGAGACGGUGAAUAUUGUUUGGGGCGAGAACGACGUUAAUUUCAAUAUAGGCGUAACGUCGCCCAUUGACGGCAUGCCCUUGAACGGCAUUCCUUCCAUUCGAGUCCACAACGGCAAGAACUACUGCGCGAGCGGAAACAGAAUAAUAAGAUGGACGGAAGUGUUCAUCAUCCAAAAUGGCGAGGACAGUCCAAAGAAUCAAGAUCCCGUAGAUAUUUCUAGAGUAUCCGAAAAUAUAGCCAAAGGAACAUGUGAUGCGCUUCUGAACUAUCUGGAUCUGUUGGUGACGAACAAUUUUACUAAGAUUGGUAUCAGGACUAAUCUGCAAGCGGAUAGUGUUUCUUAUUCUGCCGGUAGUAACAAUACGAAGCUACCGCCCAUAUACAUGAAAAGCCUGGACAACGAGCUCAUACCGAUUCUACACAGGAUAACGUCGAGCAAUCUGGGCGAAACGGCGAUCAUCUUGGAACUAAUAUUUCGAAUUCUAAACGUUUGAGAUUAUAAUAGACAAUAAAAGUCUCCCCAUGUAUUAUAAUCUACAUAGUUGAAGUAGGUAUAAGUAUAUAAUACACAAGAAAAGUACCUCUUGACAUUCAUGAAUUACUUUUACAUAAAUGGUGUCAGAACAAUAUUAACAUAAGAUUCAAAAAUAAAGGCUUAAUCGUAAUAUGAAGAACUCUAUAGCGGUGGUUCCAUUUUUAACAGUUAACAUAUUUCAUGUGUCAUAAAGACUAGAAGUGAGAUUAUAAAUAUUUAUACCAAAUUUGUCCACAUUGUUUCAAACCUAAAAACAGUUGCAAGUAAACACUUAGUAGGAAACUUGCAUAAAAUUUUAAAUUCGAAAAAAUGUUGUAAAUCACAACAGCACCACAUGAUUUAAAACAUGUAUCAAAGAUAAAAAAAAGUUGUUUUUGUGUUCCGUUUGGCCCCUAAAGACGAUUCUAAAUUCAAAUUAUAGCAGCUAGCCCAAGACGCGUCGUGACGUCAUAUGGUUGUAUGUUUACAUUGUGCAUCAACAAAGUAAACAAUUACAAAACAAACAUUUUAAAUUAGACAUUAUAAACGUCAGUAGAAAAUACAGCUAUGUGACGUCACAAGUGUUUUUGGUCGUUUGAACUAUUUUAAAUACAUAGAAAACUUGUACUUUUACAAAAUGGCACUAAACAACACUUAUAGUGUUUCCUUUUAUUUUCCAUAGUAAACCUUCUUUACUUUCCUUCAAAAACUGUACCAUACUCCAAUCUCAACAAAGUGGUAUAUAUUAUUACAAUGACAUACGAUAAAUGUCAUUAGAAUAUAAUAUUUUUCCCUUAUUCCGCGACGAUAAGUUGGCCAAAUACCAAGUAGGUGGAGGCCAAUAAACUAAAGAAGAAGAAGAAUAUACCUAAAUAUAACCAUAAAUAUGAACAUAAAUAAAGUACAACUAUGUGACGUCACGGGUCGUUUGAACUAUUUUAAAUUACAGAAGAUUUUAAAUUUGUACUUCUAAGUUAUUAUGAGUUUUUGAAGCGUGAAAUUUUGGAAAUCUCAUUUUUAAACAAAACUGAACAUUAUUAUGUAAUAAAAAAUGUGCAAGUUCCCUAUUGUUAUUUGUAUUUGAGGUUAUGGAAACAAUUUUGCACAUUUCUUUGUUGUAAUUUUGUCUUCAUGCACUUUUUAUAUUUGCAAAAAAUGUUAGAAAUUGUUAUCCAGUGUUAUGGUGAUUAAGAGUUCGCAAUGAAUUAUUUAAAUACUUUAUUCUACAAUAAGAAUUAAAACUAAAUAUGUGCUACAUUAUUAAAUAAGAUUACAAGUGACAGUUGACAACCGGCAUUACUACUUAAACAUUAUGAACCAGCGGUUCUCAAUCUGUGGUGGUACACAAAACCCAAAAACAGCCAAAAUCAGCACCAAUAUUAUAGUUAAUUAGAUUACCUAGCUGCAUAAGUAUUUCAGUUAGGUGGUACCAAAAAUAAUAAAAAGAAUUGUGUGGUACAUGAAUCAAAGAGAUUGAGAACCACUGUCCUAUACAUUAUAAUAAUGGAAGCCAAAAGAUAGAGGUACUUUUCUUGCUGAACAACUUUCUAUAGUGUUUAGACUUCAGUUUUUUAAACAGUCAAUAGAUAUAGACAGGUUAUGGUAAAAUAUUUUUAUAGUUGAGUAGCUCGAUAUAACUUAUCAGGUUUUUAUUGAAAAUGUUUAAAAGUUGUUGAAAAAAUGGUGGUUGUUUCGUAAUGUUCGAGAAUGGAUGUGGGGUAUGGCUACUAGUGAUACUAUUAGGUAUAUUGUAUAAAUCAGGGGAGAUUUUUAAAAUGUGUCAAAAAUAUUUGUCCUGUAUAAACUGCGUGAAUUACUGUAUUCUUCUUCUUCUUCUUCAGGUGCCAUCUCCGCUACGGAGGUUGGCAAUCAUCAUAGCUAUUUUAAUUUUUGAGGCAGUAGCUCUAAAUAGUCGUUUUGAGCUGCAUCCAAACCUAAUUACUGUAUUGGAGGUUGGAAAUUCAUUAAAAAAGUGACAAAAAUAAAAUAGUACACUUAUUUUUUGCAACAUGUGGUUUGUUUAAUAUCGAUAGGGUUUCAAUUUUAUCAAUAAAACAUUACCUAGUUUUUCUUGUAUUUCAUAAGGAAGAACCUUGAUAGGUCUCACCAGUCCGCUGAAGACUUAAUGCACACUUACGCUGCUUUUUGAGAGUAAUAAUGUUUGAUGUAAUUGAUAAACCAAUUCUAUUAGUACCACAUUAUGCGAAAUGAAUCCAGAUAUGCCCUCCUACAGGUCAUCCUGCAAGGAAAAACAUUUGGAAAGCGAGGUCCAGGAAGAAGAACAUCCUGGUUAAAGAACCUCGGAACCUGGUUCAACACAACAUAAACUUACGUGCAUAGAAAUCGGUCCACCUAAAAAUUCGGUCAUUUUUGAAGUCUCAUAUUUCCUAAACUUGUUGGCCGAUCUAAGUGAUUUUUUGAACAUGUUAUAGCCUGAUUCUUUAGCAAUACCACUGUAGUAAUAUUGCUGCUAAACAGGUAAAUUUUCAUUGUAUACCGGGUGGACCAAUCAAACUGUGUUUUGUUCUCAAAGUUCGCAUCACCCUGUGGAAUAUUCUAGCAUUUAUAAAAUACUGAAAUUAAAACCCAACUAUAGACUCAGGUUUUCUUAACAUUCUGUGUUUUGAUUCAUUCGUUUAUGUUGGAUAAUAAAAAAGUUAGGUACUUUAACAACUAGACAUGUUCUUCAUCAAUACACGGUGUUUCUAAAUAAGUGCGACAAACUUUAAGGGGUAAUUCUGCAUGAAAAAAUAAUGACAGUUGGCUUUAUAAAUGUAUGUCCGCAAAUGUUUCGUUUCCGAGAUACGGGAUGUUGAAUUUUUUCUUACAAACUGACGAUUUAUUUUAUUGCUUUAAAACCGGUUGAGGUGUGCCAAUGAAAUUUGGUGGAUUUUAAGACGUAGUUAUUGCACAUUUUUUGACAUACAAUUAAGAAUUUAAUAUUCACCAUUAGCGCGCAUACGUGUAAUAUGACCGAUCAUAUUACCCGUAUGCACGCUAAUGGUGAAUAAAUAAUUCUUAAUUUUAUGUCAAAAAAUCCACAAUAACUAUCUCUUAAAACCCACCAAAUUUCAUUUGCAUGUCUCAACUGGUUUUAAAGCAAUAAAUAAAUCGUCAUUAUGUAAGAAAAAAUUCAACAUCCCGUAUCUCGGAAACGAAACAUUUGCGGACAUACAUUUAUAAAGCCAACUGUCAUUAUUUUUUCAUGCAGAAUUGCCCCUUAAAGUUUGUCGCACUUAUUUAGAAACACCGUGUAUUGAUGAAGAACAUGUCUAGUUGUUGAAGUACCUAACUUUUUUAUUAUCCAACAUAAAUGAAUUAAUAAAAAAAAAGAAUGUUAAGAAAACCUGAGUCUAUAGUUGGGUUUUAAUUUCAGUAUUUUAUAAAUGCUAGAAUAUUCCACAGGGUGAUGUGAACUUUGAGAAAAAAACACAGUUUAAUUGGUACACCCGGUAUACAAUAAAAAUUUACCUGUUUAGCAACAAUAUUAUUACAGUGGUAUUGUUAAAGAAUUAGGCUAUAACAUGUUCAAAAAAUCACUUAAAUCGGUUAACAGGUUUAGGAAAUAUGAGACAUCAAAAAUCACCAAAUUUUUAAGUGAGCCGAUUUCUAUGCACGUAAGUUUAUGUGCAGCUUUUCCGCGUUGCUGCAGAUAAAAUAAAGAUUGCCAUGAUGAUCGCCAACAUUCGUCAAGGCACGUCAAGAAGAAGAUUAGUACCACUAGAGUUAUACAACCACUCUUUCAGUUUCACAAAGUAUAGUUAGAUGAUUGAUGGUUACCAAAACACCAUUUUAUCAAACUAUGCUUCCAUUUAUUUGAUAUAUUUUUAAGUUUCAAGAAUUAUUUUCCUCAAACAGUAUUACCGUAUCACAAUCACACAUUGCAUUCAGUUUAUAUUUUUGCUUUAAGAGAUGACCACACAUUUUUAGAACACUUUUUCUGUUUAUCUACGACUAUUUAAGAAUAUGAAAAUAUUUAUCUUUAUAAUAAUAUACUUUUGGACAGUAGUUCAAUUGUGAAGGAACACUGUUGAUAGGAACAACUCAGGAGAAAAGGGAAACAGCAAGGAACAACUCUGUAGGUGUUGUCUUAACAGGGAGGAAAAUACAGGAAACAUCAAUAUAGAUCUUAACGAAACGAACAGAUAUCAGCCAUCUGCUCUACACAAAUUAUAGGAUAUGUAGACGAUCUGGUAUAAAAAACAAACAAGUUUAGAAUAACACUGAAUCGUAUAGUAUAGAAUAUAGAAGAAAAAAAUUAAAACCUAGAUGAACAGAGAUGAUAUUAUUGGCUAUAUAAAGGCCCAAGGGCAAAAAUAACCCAAAUGAACGAGAUAAUUUCCGUAUCUUAUGCAGUUUUUUGGCAUAAAGUGUAGAUUGAAUGGUAUCGAAUAUAUCUAUCUAACCAGUCUUAAACGCCCAUUUUUACUGAACGCCCAUAUUACUUACUGAAACAAGCAAACACUCCGGUAAUCUACCUCUGUUAUGUGGAGAAGUCCAAAGAGAUUUUAACUUUAAUUGCACAGUUUUGCAAAUGGUAUUAGCUGACGUCCGAUUUCCUUCCAAUUAUGUAUCCUUAUUUUCCAUCCCAAAUUUUGCUUCAAAUCCGCCACUUAACAAUGAGAAUUAAUCUCAAUAUCCGGCGUGUCCACUUUAAUAGAGUUUGACCAACUAAAAUUCCAAUCGAGAAAUCAAUUUCGCUUCAAUUCAACGAGGUUUUCGCGCGUGCGUAGAGAAAUGUCGUUUGUGAAUCGAUCGCGGGCGUAUCACAAGAAAUUUCUUGAGGGAUAUUAUUAAUGCAAUUUUAAUUGAAUUAAUUUAAUUAGUAGCGUAACCGCUACACUGGGCAUAAGCCUCCCCUGUUAAUCUCCAUUGGUUUCUAUUCUGGGCGAUCUGCCUCCAGUCCUUUCUUGCCGUUCUGUUAAGGUCGUCCAUCCAUCUCAUCUGUGGUCUUCCCCUUUUUCUUUUCUCUUCCCAUGGUCGCCAGUGUAGAAUUCGCUUAUUCCCUCUUUCAUCUUUUUACCGCUGAGUGUGGCCGGCGAAGUUCCAUUUAUUUGGCGAUUGAAUGGUAAGGAAGCAAUAAUAAGAACGUUGCUACUAACAUCUUUGAUCUCACAAUCAAUUCAACCCGUUAUUUCGACAAAGGCACAAGUCCCAUUUCUUUUAAAUAUCGCUGUUUGGUGCUACUUUAUUUCUUGAAGCGUUUAACAUGUUUUCUGUGAAAAGGGCAUAUCUUUAUAUAUCACAAUUCAUCUUAAAGAGCGCCUAACCUUUGGAUCGAAAGUUCCGAAUGGUAGUGAGUUCGAAUCCCACCAGGGUCAGGAAUUUUUUCGUUUAUUAUAAAUUAAUAAAUGAAAAUAGUUUCUGUCCUUGUGAGAUCGUUACUCACCGGAGGGACCGCAGACGUUCGGAUAUAAUUAGCGUCUCUUUGCAAAGACAAUGACGUCGACUUUGCAAAGUAACAAGACACUUACUCAACACACACACUUCACAUUAAACCUGAGUUAGUGAUAAGUUAUACAAUUACGUGGCUAAAGGUUCUAGUUCUAAACCAAGGCCAGAAUCAGAGAAAAAAAAUUCAUCUUAAAAGUUAGAAGGCAAACAAAAAUUGAAGUCUAUUUGAAAAUUGCACCAGUCCUGGACUUAUGCCCCUUUCUAUUGAAACAAAACGGAACUUUUAAUUAAUGGACUUGCGUCCUUAUUUAAAUGACGGAUUCAAUAGCUCUACAAUAUUGUAACUUUUAGAACAGCAUUACUCAAUUUAUUUACAGGAAUAGUCGUAGAAAAACAACUGAAGCAGCAUUUUAUAUUUUAAAGAUAAUGUCAAUUAACUAAGGAGUAUCUCGAGAAUAUUUCCAUCAAAUGAAAACACAAUACAUCUCUGUUAAUAUCCACUAAAGUUUUUUUCGUACUUUUAAAAAUAAGGGAGGAAUCUACAUACUUGUUUAAUGAAAUAAUGGUCUACCGCAUAGUUGGUCACGUAUUUUUUGUUUUUAUUGCAUGAUUUUACUAUGGACUUUGGUGUGUCCUGUGAAAAUGUUUUCUAUGUAAAUUUUGUUUAUUUCAUUUGAUAUGCAUCGUUAUUCGUUUGGACACGCGCUAACUCUCAACUUUUAAUGACAAACAUUUUAAAAUCAAAAUGUACACCGGCCAAUUCGUAACUUUUAUACUACCUGAUCCUGGUAACUCGAAACUUUCUACAGGUGAAUUCGACACCAUUGAUUAAAUCUAAUACCUUAGGUAGUUAGUUAAAAGGUAAGAAAUAAAUUUGAACAGUAACGGAUUAAGCCAACACGGGGGCCUAUAGCAAAUGUGAGCGAAUGGUUCUUGGUUUCUUUUCCACUUUUUAGCACUUUCUUUAAGUGAAAUUUAAAAUUAUAUACCACCAAUAGCUUAUUUACCACGUUCACUCAUUACGGAAUCUGUUAAAAAAUUUCAGUCAUUUUAACAAACUUUAUUUGGAUUUUCUCUAGUAACUCUUCCAAGAGACAAUACAUAAGUGAUAUACCUUUUACACCACCUUGAAAGAGGGUAAUUUAUACAGGUACAUACCUGGAAUACCGGUAUUAGAUUAUCAACAUCGUUAGGAACUACUUAGAAAAUGAAAGUUACAAAUUCACCGGUAGGUACUUGAAGGGUUAUCAAAAAAUUAACUGAGGGCCAGAGUUACCAGUUGGUCUGUAAUUAGGAUGGGGGAUUAAAAUAGUUACAAAUUCACCGGGACCCAUUCAUUUUUUAUAAGUGGUUUUCAUGAGAUUAAAUUAGGAACAGGUAGGAAAACAACACAGUUAAACACGAGAAUAGGACUAGCAUGGACAGUUUAUUGCCAUGUGCUUGAAAAGGAAGAUCUUUGAUCAAUGUAUACUUAAUGUAUGGAACAGAAAUUCUGACCCUUACCAAAAAAGUAAUAAAUAAAAUGCAAGUAUCGGAGAGAGCAAUGGAGGGGUCAAUGUUAAAUAUAUCUAGUGAUGGAUUCGACCGUUACUUGAUGGAGGUUCAUUUUAUCUCAGAACUGAAGACUUGUGUUUUCUACACUUCCGCAAAUGUAUUAUCAUUUAUUAUUACUACAGUUGUUUCCGCAGGAGUGCCUUUCACAGCUUCCUAAAUUAUACUUUUUUAUUAAACUACACAAAACUGACCACCCAACAAUAUCUGUAGUUUCUUUUUAUACAGCUUCAUCAUAUAAAAUUUCAAUGUACAUGUGGUGACUGCCCAAAAACUUACAUCGGUCAAACUGGUAGAACCUUUAACACAUUUAACACACAAGAAACCACUAAAUUAAUUACUAACAGUUUAAUCCAAAAGACAAAAAUGAAAGUCAAAGCAUAAAUCUAUUACGGUUUUUAAAGUAGUGUUUUUUAAACGAUAGUAGUAGUGGCAUUAAAUGGCAGCUAGAAAAGACACCAAAAUCAAUUUCUUCCAUGAUUCUUUGGGUAAGAUCUUUAGGAGCUUUCCAAGCUUCUUUUUUCUUUGCUUUUCAAAGGUCUCUCAAAUACUAUACCGUGAUGAGCGCGCUAAUAACCGGCAAAAUAAUUCAAAAGAUGGAAAACAUUGUGAAGUAAAAGAGAUGGAACUUUUAGAGGUGGAAAUUAUCGAUAUAAACGUAUGAAUUAACAUUACAUUACAUAGUUUCCCAACUUUAGACAUAUCAGAGGAGUAUAACAACUGUCACUGUGACAGGUGAAUUUUAUGAAAUACUCCUGUCACAGACUACUUUUUUCGAAAAAUGCAUUUUGAGGUUAUGUACACUCAACGUAUGGGUCUAUAAAAAAUAAACAUGUUUUGUGAAAAAACUACGCGUGUGAAUUUUUUGAAAUUUUUAAAUUGAUUGCAUCCCACCUAAAAAAAAUUAAGAACUAAAAAAAUGUAUUUGACAGGGUUGAGGGGGGUGGGGUGGUAAAAUUAAGUACCCUUUAGACAUUUAGACAAUUAUUAAAUCGUAAAUCUACGAAUUUUUCGUUAAAAUUGUUUUUAUGUUGUGCAAUAUAUUGUAGACUACUUAGUAGUUAUAUACUCAAAACCAUAAUUGAUUAUUAUAAUAAAAGAUUCCUCCCUUCAAAAUUUCACACAUCUAGUCACGUUUGAUACAUAAUUUGGUAUUAUUACUCGUAUCCAAUAUUUUAUCUAUACAUACUUUUAUUUAUACAUUAUAUUGUGAUUUUAAAUAUAUUCUAAAUUUAAAUAGUGUUGACACUAAAGGACGUACUAUUUCAUUAUCCUUUGAAAAUGUAUUUUUAAUCGAAUUAUUCUACUUAAAUGAAUACGAAGAAAUUCAAAAGUAUAAAACCAUUAUUGUAGAUUCAACAAUGAGUAAGUGGUCAUAUUUACAUAAGCUUUGAUCGCGCAGGACAUACUGGGUAUACCCAGAGGGAGAACGCCUGCGCAUUACAAAAUCGAGCGUUCACGGAGUUCAAAUAUUUCCCUCUGAACACCCUCCGGAUUUUUAAUUCGGUGUUCGCGCAGCACAGAAAAAAGAUCCUGAACGUGUUCGGAAUACCCUCUUGACGUUCGAGGAUUUUGUUUCUGAUUUUAAGUUCGCACAGGCGCACAACAUAUUUGGGAAGAAUUUCUUGACAUUCUGUUCUUACUCCUUCCAAUUCUUAACCUAAAAUAUUGUUUUGUUAUACAACUUGUAAAUGUAUAUUCUGGUUUUUAAAGUUUUGAAGUGUUGUAUCAUUUAAAUAUUCUUCAAACAAAUUUUAAUAUUUUUUAUAUUAAAGCUUUUUUAGUUGUUUUUGUCCAUGUUUUCUAUUCCGUAUUGUUUAUAAAUAAGUAGGUACCUUUUCUAGUAUUAUUUUCAUUCGAUAUUCGAUAAUUAUCUACUACGGUAGUAUUCAUCAUCAUUCUCUUUGCCUUAUCCCUAUGCGGGGUCGGCUUCCCUAAUUGCAUUUCUCCACACAAUUCUGUUUUGGGUCAUAUCAAUGUUAAUCCCCUUUACCAACAUGUCCUGCCUUAUCGCCUCCCCCCAGGUCUUCUUUGGUCUUCCUCUCCUACUCCUUCCAGGAAUCUGCACUUCAGCUAUUCUUCGUAUUGGGUGAUUAACGUCUCGACGUUGAACAUGACCGAACCAUCUUAACCUAUGCUCUCUCAUUUUGGCAUCAAUUGGUGCCACACCUAGAGUUCCCCUAAUAUACUCAUUUCUAAUUUUAUCCUUCUUUGUCACUCCACUCAUCCAUCUAAGCAUUCUCAUUUCCGCCACAUGCAUUCGUUGUUCCUCUUUCUUUUUCACUGCCCAACAUUCAGUUCCGUACAUCAUAGCCGGUCUUAUGGCUGUUUUAUAGAAUUUUCCCUUCAGCUUCAUUGGAAUUUUUCUGUCACACAACACACCACUCGCUUCUUUCCACUUCAUCCAUCCAGCCCUAAUUCUACUGCAUGCAUCUCCAUCUAUUUCUCCAUUACUCUGUAAUACCGAUCCUAGGUACUUAAAACUAUUGCUUUUCACAAUCAUUUCACCAUCCAAAGAUACCAUUUUAUUUGUAGUAGCUCCAUCUUUAAAUGAACAUUCCAAAUACUCUGUUUUUGUCCUACUAAGUUUUAAACCUUUUUCCUCCAGAGCUUGUCUCCACUGUUCCAGUUUUUGUUCUAAGUCUCUUUCACUAUUUCCUACUAACACGACAUCAUCAGCAUACAUUAAGCACCAUGGAAUGUUACCCUGUAGUUUCGCUGUUAUCUGGUCCAAAACUAAUGAGAAUAAAUACGGACUAAGCACAGAGCCUUGGUGCAAUCCUACUUUCACAUGAAAUUUAUCAGUCUCUCCCACACCUGUCCUAACACUAGUCGUUACUCCCUCAUACAUAUCCCUCACAAUCUUUACAUAUUCACCAGGGACUCCUUUCUUAUUGAGUGCCCACCACAGAAUCUCUCGAGGAACUCUAUCAUAUGCUUUCUCAAGAUCAAUGAAUACCAUAUGAGCGUUUGUUUCUUUACUCCUGUAUUUUUCCAUCAACUGCCUUAUAAUGAAAAUUGCAUCUGUUGUUGAUCUACCCUGCAUAAAGCCAAAUUGAUUCUCGGAUAUUUCGGUCUCUUCACGUAUCCGUCUGUCAAUUACUCUUUCCCAUAUUUUCAUGGUGUGGUUAAGCAGUUUUAUAGCCCUGUAGUUUGUACAUUGUUGUAUAUCUCCCUUGUUUUUGUAAACAGGUACCAGUAUACUGCUUCUCCAUUCGUCUGGCAUUUGUCCGACUUCCAUAAUUCUAUUAAAUAGACCUGCUAGCCACCUUGUUCCUGUCUCUCCCAAUGCUCUCCAUACUUCCCCAGGAAUAUCAUCUGGUCCUACCGCUUUUCCUUUCUUUAUUUUUUGAAGCGCUUGAGCCACUUCCUCGUUGGUUAUUUUGGUGACCAUUGCUGCUACUGUCUCCGUUGCCUCUACAGGCUGUCUGUCAAAUUCUUCAUUUAAUAAGCUGUCAAAGUACUUUCUCCAUCUCUUUUUGACUUCCCUUUCGUGAACUAGUAUUUUAUUAUUUUCAUCUCGGAUACAUCUAAUCUGAUUAAAAUCUUUUGCUUUCCUUGCUCUCUGUUUGGCUAUUUUAUAUAUCUUCGUUUCGCCUUCCCUGGUAUCAAGUUGAUCAUAUAGGUGUGAAUACGCUUCUGCUUUGGCUUUUGCUACUGCUACUUUCGCUUCCUUUUUCGCCACCAUAUAGUUUUGAAGAUCUGUGUCGGAUCUGGUUUCUUGCCACUUUUUAUAUAAUUUUUUUACUACUAAGUUUUUUACCACUACUACGGUAGUAUGUAUUACAAUAAAUUGUACUAUGUUUUUACUUAAUUUCUUCUAUCUAGAUGAGCUUAUAAGUACCUACAUAUUCUUGUGGUUUAUUUUUCAGUUUAAUUUAUGAGUUAGGUAAAUUAGUCUCUUAUUGAAUAUAAUGAAACAUAAACAACACAUCAAAUUUAUUCUGAAACUAUUUCUUGUGUCUUGUUAUAUUUCAUUAUUUUUGUGGUGUAAUAAACCACAACACAAUGCCACAACCUAUCAAAUUCAAUACAUACAUAUAAAAAUUGGAAAUUAUUGCUUUUCUAAAUUAUUCCUUCCUUCAGAUAAUGUUCAACCCCCAGGAAGUUAAAGGUAAUUUUUAUAUGUAAAUAUCAACAAUCUUUUACUCUCUACAAAAAUGUAAGCCGGAUUUCGGCGUGGAAAUACCACAUUAUAUUGUCGAAAUAAUAAAGAAAGACGCUAAUCAAAUUUCUAACUUCUAAGAAAGGCAUUGAAUUAUUGAAUAGAAAGUUAAUCAUUUGCCUGUUGCUGUUAUUCUCUUUCUCUUUGUUGACAUUCAAAUUUGUUGCAUUUGCAUUUUUUUUACAUUGAUUUCGAAAUAAGAAAGGGACAACAAAAGGCUUCCUUCUCUAACCUUAAUGUAUGCAACCCGUCAUUACAUUACGAAUCCGAAAAUUGUUCGCGGAGCGAAAAAUCCUGAACAUCCGAACUUACUCUGAAUACGUUCAUGUUGUACUGCGCGAACACUACUAUAAGCCGUGGAGAACAAAACUAAAGUUAUAGGCCCAAAUAAACUACAGCUGUGAAAUUAGCAUACCUCGUUCCAAGGUACAUUCGAAGGUUUCCCGAUUACGGGUGCCCAUAUAAAAAUUUUCAGGGGGGGCAGACGAGAAGAUGUUGCACAUUAUAUUUUAAACUUUGGAUAACCAUAUAUAAUUUACAGCUCCCGAAAAGCAAGGGGGACCAUACCUCCCCCCUCUUCUGUUGGCGAUCCAAAUGGCAAUUGUAGCUUUGGAAACUGCUGCACGAAAGUGCUAUUUUUAAUUUUAAAUAUUUCAUUCAAAAGAAACUUUUUGUUAUUCUAAGGGACUUUUGGUCCUCGGUAAUAAUGUAAUCUUUCAUUCUGCGUUUAAACUUUUCGAAAAUAUUUAUUAGGUUUCUCAGGAUUCGAAAAAAAUGAAUGCGUUUAAAUAAUAUUGGACCAAGAUUUCGCGCCUACCCCCUUUAAAAAACGUUUAUUUCGUCGCUCCUUUUAGCUCUUCGUAUAUUUCUAAUUCGACGAAAUAUUGAAGGUAUUCAAUAGCAAUAGCAGUUUUGCAAUCUGUUCAUGUUUUUUCGCUUCCUUAUUUUCCUUCAUUUCUCUUUGAGGUUGCAUAUUUUAAUGCUUAUUGAAUGAUCGGAGCAGAUUUUUCUACAAAAUAAGAAAAAAUAUCCAGUAAAACGUACAUAACUGCUACCGACUUAAAGCCCAUAGUCCGUGAUUGAUUUUCUUAAAUACUCAGUUUCCGAGUUCUUCUUCUUUUUGUGUAGACAUGACUCUGUUUUUCAAUGUGCCUUGAUUCCAUUGGCCAUGAUAUCUACAUUAACCCUGGAAAGUGUAUUUUUGAGAAUAUGCUCGGAGUACAGAUUAAAAAUCAAUAGUGACAAGAUGAAUCCCCAUGUAGAAUUUCAAUUAAUUCAGAAGUAUUUAGUUAUAUUAUUUUCUUUUAGUCUGUGUAUUAUAUUGUGACGCUCCUAGACCCCGAUUGACCGCCGAAGAUUCCGGCCUAUUGUUUGUAAUUCCGCCUAAACAAUUUUUUGUCUGCCUAAGCUAGGAUAAUUUAUUACCUGUUUGAUUUCUGAUGUAAACAUUCUAUUCAUUCUAGAACUUUGCCGAAUGUACUAGUAAAUUGUUUUUUUACCUGUAGUUAAUUUAUUCCGUAUUUUAAAGCCUUAUAUGUUUUUCGGAAUGUUCGAUAAAGCUGUUUGUCUACAUAUUGUUUACCUUUCGAUUUUUCUAGACUAACUGUAAAUACUAUUUAAGGAAACCAAAAUGAAUGUUUGGGGGCAGUCUAAUAAAGCGGUGGUUAUGUUGUCUUUUCUUUUUUUUUUUCUUCUUUCUUCUUUUUAUGUAGACGUAGAUAUGACUCUGUCUGUUUUUCAAUGUGCCUCCAGUAAGUUGACAUUCCAUCGUUUUCUUGGUCUUCCCACUGAUCGUCUUCCUAUUAGGGAACCGUCUCUCGCCGUCCUUAUUUGUUGUCAUUUGGCCUAUGUGUUCGUUCCAUUCUACUCUUCUGUUUUACCCAAUUAUUAAUGUUGUCUACCUUGCAUUUCCGUCCUAUUAUGCACUUCUAGCUCUAUCCCAAAGUGUCUUACCAUCGAUUUUUCGAAAGGUUUUCAUCUCUGCUGUUUCUAGCAUUCUUUUUGUUCUGUCUGUAUGAAAUCGUUUUUCUGCUGCGUAUGUCAUUAUUGGUCUGAUGACUGUUUUGUAAAUUCUGCCUUUCACUUCUUUUCCGAUAUUUUUUUCUCCAUAUUGUUUCGUUCAAGCAACUUGCGGUCUGUUUGCUUUAUUCACUUGAUCUUCCACUUCUGUUAUGAGCUUUCCGUAGCUAGAUAGUUUAACGCCUAGAUAUUUAAACUCCAUGACUUGUUCUAUUAUCUGACCUGGAGGGCCAGGCAAUAGAACCCGAGACUUAAUAUUCCGAGUUGAAACUUGGAUUUUGGCUAUAAUAAACUUUCCACUCUUUAAAUGAAGUAAAAGUCAGACUUACUCUCAAUCUUUAUUAUAACUUCCGACGACCGGUUUCGCUCUUUAAAAUUUGUAGAGCAUCUUCAAGUCAAAGGUAACAAGUUGCAAAAUGCUACAAAUAAACAAAAACCAGAGUUAGGACAUUGUCUGGUUGUAAAAGAUGCUAAAGAUCCAUAAGAUCAAGCCAAUGUUGAAUAACAUACAUAAAAGUAGCGAAAUAGCAUACCAAUGCACAUGCAUGCAAUCAUGGGGGGUGGUAAAACUUCCCCCAAGCGCACAAACAUGUGCAGAAGUAUGCUCUAUAUAAUCAUGCAAUUAUAACGUGUCGUACUUACAUUCGGAUACAAGGUGCUACCAACUCAGUAUUCAUUAUAUAUAGAUGCUUUAACAGAAACAUCAUGAUAAUGAAUACUGAGUUGGUAGCACCUUGUAUCCGAAUGUAAGUACGACACGUUAUAAUUGCAUGAUUAUAUAUAGCAUACUUCUGCACAUGUUUGUGCGCUUGGGGGAAGUUUUACCACCCCCCAUGAUUGCAUGCAUGUGCAUUGGUAUGCUAUUUCGCUACUUUUAUGUAUGUUAUUCAACAUUGGCUUGAUCUUAUGGAUCUUUAGCAUCUUUUACAACCAGACAAUGUCCUAACUCUGGUUUUUGUUUAUUUGUAGCAUUUUGUAACUUGUUACCUUUGACCUGAAGAUGCUCUACAAAUUUUAAAGAGCGAAACCGGUCGUCGGAAGUUAUAAUAAAGAUUGAGAGUAAGUCUGACUUUCACUUCAUUUAAAAUGAACUCUCACAUGCAACCCAUUCAAGAUUUCCACUGUUUCUUCCUAGUUCACUUCAGUAAAAUUUAUUCGUUGCAUAUACCACAAACUACAAACUGACUAAACGUUUUUGCGUUACUGCAUUUAAAUAGUAUUUAUACUUUUGAGUUUGUUCAUAUUCGUUACACAACUAAUGGAAGAAUGCAAUUGUACUAAAAUUAGUAAUAAGAUUGAAGAGCUUUACUUUUUAGAGUAGCUUUUUUGAAAUUGUAUAUAAAUUGUUAUUUGUUACAUACUGCUGUACAUUCUAACUACACGUUAAUUAUUUAAUGUAAUAAGAUCCUAUAUUUCUACUACUAAA
This 18960-nucleotide unclassified non-coding RNA is filed under the name Diabrotica virgifera virgifera (western corn rootworm). Its description in RNAcentral is "zinc finger FYVE domain-containing protein 9". The record is from RNAcentral. Lineage: Eukaryota; Metazoa; Arthropoda; Insecta; Coleoptera; Chrysomelidae.